UUAAGCGACUAAGCGUACACGGUGGAUGCCCUGGCAGUCAGAGGCGAUGAAGGACGUGCUAAUCUGCGAAAAGCGUCGGUAAGGUGAUAUGAACCGUUAUAGCCGGCGAUGUCCGAAUGGGGAAACCCAGUGCAAUUCGUUGCACUAUCGUUAACUGAAUACAUAGGUUAACGAGGCGAACCGGGGGAACUGAAACAUCUAAGUACCCCGAGGAAAAGAAAUCAACCGAGAUUCCCCCAGUAGCGGCGAGCGAACGGGGAGCAGCCCAGAGUCUGAAUCAGCUUGUGUGUUAGUGGAACGGUCUGGAAAGUCCGACGGUACAGGGUGAUAGUCCCGUACACCAAAAUGCACAGGCUGUGAACUCGAAGAGUAGGGCGGGACACGUGGUAUCCUGUCUGAAUAUGGGGGGACCAUCCUCCAAGGCUAAAUACUCCUGACUGACCGAUAGUGAACCAGUACCGUGAGGGAAAGGCGAAAAGAACCCCGGCGAGGGGAGUGAAAAAGAACCUGAAACCGUGUACGUACAAGCAGUGGGAGCACCUUCGGGUGUGACUGCGUACCUUUUGUAUAAUGGGUCAGCGACUUAUAUUCUGUAGCAAGGUUAACCGUAUAGGGGAGCCGCAGGGAAACCGAGUCUUAACUGGGCGUUAAGUUGCAGGGUAUAGACCCGAAACCCGGUGAUCUAGCCAUGGGCAGGUUGAAGGUUGGGUAACACUAACUGGAGGACCGAACCGACUAAUGUUGAAAAAUUAGCGGAUGACUUGUGGCUGGGGGUGAAAGGCCAAUCAAACCGGGAGAUAGCUGGUUCUCCCCGAAAGCUAUUUAGGUAGCGCCUCGUGAACUCAUCUUCGGGGGUAGAGCACUGUUUCGGCUAGGGGGUCAUCCCGACUUACCAACCCGAUGCAAACUACGAAUACCGAAGAAUGUUAUCACGGGAGACACACGGCGGGUGCUAACGUCCGUCGUGAAGAGGGAAACAACCCAGACCGCCAGCUAAGGUCCCAAAGUCAUGGUUAAGUGGGAAACGAUGUGGGAAGGCACAGACAGCCAGGAUGUUGGCUUAGAAGCAGCCAUCAUUUAAAGAAAGCGUAAUAGCUCACUGGUCGAGUCGGCCUGCGCGGAAGAUGUAACGGGGCUAAACCAUGCACCGAAGCUGCGGCAGCGACACUAUGUGUUGUUGGGUAGGGGAGCGUUCUGUAAGCCUGCGAAGGUGACCUGUGAGGGUUGCUGGAGGUAUCAGAAGUGCGAAUGCUGACAUAAGUAACGAUAAAGCGGGUGAAAAGCCCGCUCGCCGGAAGACCAAGGGUUCCUGUCCAACGUUAAUCGGGGCAGGGUGAGUCGACCCCUAAGGCGAGGCCGAAAGGCGUAGUCGAUGGGAAACAGGUUAAUAUUCCUGUACUUGGUGUUACUGCGAAGGGGGGACGGAGAAGGCUAUGUUAGCCGGGCGACGGUUGUCCCGGUUUAAGCAUGUAGGCUGGUUGUCCAGGCAAAUCCGGAUAAUCAAGGCUGAGGUGUGAUGACGAGGCACUACGGUGCUGAAGUAACAAAUGCCCUGCUUCCAGGAAAAGCCUCUAAGCAUCAGGUAACAUUAAAUCGUACCCCAAACCGACACAGGUGGUCAGGUAGAGAAUACCAAGGCGCUUGAGAGAACUCGGGUGAAGGAACUAGGCAAAAUGGUGCCGUAACUUCGGGAGAAGGCACGCUGGUGUGUAGGUGAAGUCCCUGCGGAUGGAGCUGAGACCAGUCGAAGAUACCAGCUGGCUGCAACUGUUUAUUAAAAACACAGCACUGUGCAAACACGAAAGUGGACGUAUACGGUGUGACGCCUGCCCGGUGCCGGAAGGUUAAUUGAUGGGGUUAUCCGUAAGGAGAAGCUCUUGAUCGAAGCCCCGGUAAACGGCGGCCGUAACUAUAACGGUCCUAAGGUAGCGAAAUUCCUUGUCGGGUAAGUUCCGACCUGCACGAAUGGCGUAAUGAUGGCCAGGCUGUCUCCACCCGAGACUCAGUGAAAUUGAACUCGCUGUGAAGAUGCAGUGUACCCGCGGCAAGACGGAAAGACCCCGUGAACCUUUACUAUAGCUUGACACUGAACAUUGAGCCUUGAUGUGUAGGAUAGGUGGGAGGCUUUGAAGCGUGGACGCCAGUCUGCGUGGAGCCAACCUUGAAAUACCACCCUUUAAUGUUUGAUGUUCUAACGUUGGCCCCU
RNAcentral lists this ribosomal RNA (2206 nucleotides) under Klebsiella pneumoniae. RNAcentral's name for it is "bacterial LSU rRNA". It matches the Rfam family "Bacterial large subunit ribosomal RNA", at positions 1 to 2236 of the family's 2925-position model. Lineage: Bacteria; Pseudomonadati; Pseudomonadota; Gammaproteobacteria; Enterobacterales; Enterobacteriaceae. The record is from RNAcentral.